CUUUGUAAUAUUCCGGAGAAGGAGCCUGAGAGACGGCUACUAAGUCUAAGGAUUGCAGCAGGGGCGAAACUUGACCUAUGGAUUUUAUCUGAGGCAGUUAUGGGAAGUAAUAUUAUAUUGUUUCAUAUUUUAAAAGUAUAUGAGGUGAUUAAUUGGAGGGCAAAUCAAGUGCCAGCAGCCGCGGUAAUACUUGUUCCAAGAGUGUGUAUGAUGAUUGAUGCAGUUAAAAAGUCCGUAGUUUAUUUUUUUAAGAAGCAAUAUGAGGUGUACUGUAUAGUUGGGAGAAAGAUGAAAUGUGACGACCCUGACUGGACGAACAGAAGCGAAAGCUGUACACUUGUAUGUAUUUUUUGAACAAGGACGUAAGCUGGAGGAGCGAAGAUGAUUAGAUACCAUUGUAGUUCCAGCAGUAAACUAUGCCGACGAUGUGAUAUGAAAAUAUUAAUUUGUAUUACAUAAUAGAAAUUUGAGUUUUUUGGCUCUGGGGAUAGUAUGAUCGCAAGAUUGAAAAUUAAAGAAAUUGACGGAAGAAUACCACAAGGAGUGGAUUGUGCGGCUUAAUUUGACUCAACGCGAGGUAACUUMCCAAUWUUUUAUUAUUUUGAGAGAACGGUUUUUUGUUUGAGAAUGAUAAUAGUGGUGCAUGCCCGUUUUCAAUGGAUGCUGUGAAGUUUUGAUUAAUUUCAMCAAGACGUGAGACCCUUAUUUUUUAUUAAAGACAGACACAAUCAGUGUAGGAAGGAAAGGAUUAAAACAGGUCCGUUAUGCCCUCUGACAUUUUGGGCUGCACGCGCAAUACAAUAGAUAUAUAAUCUUUAUGGGAUAAUAUUUUGUAAGAGAUAUUUGAACUUGGAAUUGCUAGUAAAUUUUAUUAAAUAAGUAGAAUUGAAUGUGUCCCUGUUCUUUGUACACACCGCCCGUC
Molecule: ribosomal RNA, 922 nt
Filed under: Vairimorpha ceranae
Lineage: Eukaryota; Fungi; Microsporidia; Nosematidae
Description: bacterial SSU rRNA
Rfam family: Microsporidia small subunit ribosomal RNA
Source: RNAcentral